This 39-nucleotide transfer RNA is filed under the name Moniliophthora perniciosa FA553. RNAcentral describes it as "tRNA-Leu". Lineage: Eukaryota; Fungi; Basidiomycota; Agaricomycetes; Agaricales; Marasmiaceae. The record is from RNAcentral.
UCCUUAGUCUGGCGCCUUAGACCGCUCGGCCAUCUCGCC